UACGAAGGGGGCUAGCGUUGUUCGGAAUUACUGGGCGUAAAGCGCGUGUAGGUGGUUGUCAACGUUGGAUGUGAAAGCCUUGAGCUCAACUCAAGAAAUGCAUUCAGGACUGGGCGGCUAGAGGACCGGAGAGGAUAGUGGAAUUCCCAGUGUAGUGGUGAAAUACGUAGAGAUUGGGAAGAACACCAGUGGCGAAGGCGGCUAUCUGGACGGUGUCUGACACUAAGACUCGAAAGCGUGGGGAGCAAACAGG
This 253-nucleotide ribosomal RNA is filed under the name uncultured bacterium. RNAcentral's name for it is "partial 16S ribosomal RNA". It matches the Rfam family "Bacterial small subunit ribosomal RNA", at positions 524 to 776 of the family's 1533-position model. The record is from RNAcentral.